This 311-nucleotide ribosomal RNA is filed under the name uncultured Glomeromycotina. RNAcentral describes it as "LSU rRNA". Lineage: Eukaryota; Fungi; Glomeromycota. The record is from RNAcentral.
GAUUGAAGUCAGUCGUACCGACGAGAAAUCAACUUAUCGUGUGCGAACUUGUGGGCGUGCGUGAGUUUCGGCCUCGCUGUUUGCAUGUUUGUGCGUUUUGGGUGUACUUUUUCGUAUGGUAGGCCAACGUCAGUUUCGAUUAUCAUAAAAUGACCGGCGGAAUGUAGCUUCGACUUCGGUUGAAGUGUUAUAGCCUCUGGUAGAUGUGGUGAUUGGGACUGAGGAUUGCAACGAAUACCCUUUGGGCUAUCCGUCUGGCCUCUGAAAGUUGCUCAGGUGCCGAAAGCGUGCUUACGGUCAUCUAAGAUAAC